This is a long non-coding RNA of Dendronephthya gigantea, 299 nucleotides long. RefSeq lists it as uncharacterized. Lineage: Eukaryota; Metazoa; Cnidaria; Anthozoa; Malacalcyonacea; Nephtheidae. The transcript has 3 exons. The record is from RefSeq and is a predicted model, not a curated record.
GCUGCAUUGCAGCUUCUGUGACAAUAUUCCGGGAUCGUAACUUCUCUAGAAACGUCAUUUCCAUAAACAACAGGAAUGUCUAUUUGGUGUUUUCGUAUUUUUGGUUUUUCGUGGGACUUCCGAUGGGUGUCUUUUCUGCCAUAUUUCGUAUCAUAAAAACAAUGAUUGUGGGAUUUCUGAUGUUGCCCAGAAUUGAUCAUAGCAUCAUGCCUGAUGGUUUUCAACGGUUUGAUCCAGGUUACAAUGCGUACAUCUGUUAUCUUCACGUCCAAGCAGCUUUCAGGAACCCAGUUCUUCGA